RNAcentral lists this ribosomal RNA (354 nucleotides) under Triticum aestivum (bread wheat). RNAcentral's name for it is "partial small subunit ribosomal RNA". Lineage: Eukaryota; Viridiplantae; Streptophyta; Magnoliopsida; Poales; Poaceae. The record is from RNAcentral.
AUGGAGAGUAAGAAGAAAAACCAGUGCCUAUUCAGUUCCAAGUGGACUCGCCACGCGUUGACUGAAAAACAGCUCAUCUGCCAAGAUAGUAAGCUGAUACAUAUUAAAAUUGUUUGUGAUAAACUGAACCAGAUCCAUAACAGAGUAACUGAAAAUUUUCAGAUCCAUAGCAUUUUUAGAGAAAUAAAGCAUCACAUAACAGAGAAGAGCUUGUCAGACCAAACUAAUAGAUAUAACCAACUAGGCAGGCACAUGAGAAUGGCAGAAGAUAAUUUUUCCUGGGAUGCAACAUACCACAUACGGGAUCUUUCCUUGAGAGGAGGAAGAGGAGGGCGAUGUCUUGGUCCUUCCUGA